UAAUACAUUCUAAAUAGAAUUCGUAGGGUUUUUCUUGUUUGUUUGUUUGUUUGUAGGAAAGAAGCUGUAGAAGAAUACUCGGCCUGACUUGUACCUGCAACUGAAAUUUAGUUUAUUCAGUAUUUCAGUGAUAAGGGUUAUAGCUAUACCUACACAUUCUGAUUUUCUAUGUCAGGUUGCAUUAAAGUUGAAUCUGUGCUUGUCGUGCUUGCUGACUAUAAAUGUUUAUAACUUUAAACAUAGUGAUCAUGCUUACUGCACAUAUAAAACAUUUUCUCUCUCUUUUUUUUUUAACUCAGACUGCCAUUUAUCUUAAAUAUUUUAAAAGCAAUUUUGAGGAGCAUUGAGGUUUUUCAGAUCAGAUGUUAUACAUGGCAUGGAACAGAUCAUGCUCCUUCAAAGACAAGCAUGCAGAUUUACAGUAUCCUACUGCCCCUCAGUACUAAUCUUGAUCUUUUACCUGGACCAUGUUACCUGCAGAGGGACCUGUCGAUUUCAGAACAUCUUUCCAGAGGAACAAUCAGCUCUUCCUAAGGAUACAGAUGCAGAGUCAGAAUCUCAGUGACUGGGACAAAGUCCUUGUCUUUUAACUACAUUAAGCAGUAAGCAUACAUACAGUGCUCUAUAAGCAAAAAUGAAAUGUUGCAAAUUCUGAACCAGAACUGUUAAUCACAGUGUUUAAAAGCGUUCAUACAGAAAUGCUAGGUCACUUCCCACAGGAAUUUAAAUCUCUUGUACCUUCACUCGUUAUAAUAGACUUAGAAGAGAAAGAAGAGAACAUAAAACAGGUUGGGAUUUGUCUCCAGAGGAAAAAAGGAACAGCUCCAGUACUUGAAGUUACUCCGCAGAGCACUUGUUAGACUGACAAACUUACUGAAGAUUUACAUUGUAAAAAUUGCAAACAGGAGGGAAUGCUAGAAGCAUCAGUACUUUUUCACAGUCAUCAGUCUCAAAAGCAGCCACUGAGAUAUGUGUCAAAAUGAAGAACAGGUGAAAAAGAGCAUUCAUGCCUUGACAAAGUACUUGACUAGUCAAGUCAAAGUUGAAAGCGAUUUCAAUUGCUACAUAUUAUUAAGAUAAAGGUGAUUUCUGUAGAUACUAAAGGCCCAGAGAAGAUUCUAUUUUUACUAGGAGCAUGCAAACUUUUAGAAAGAUACAGAAGGGAUAAAGACUCACAAAAUGUGUACAAUUGCCAAAAAGGAAAAAAUAUGUCCCUGGACUAUUUGCAGUCAUGUCAUGGGAUUACCUAGGCUUGCAGUACAUUUGCUUUGAUAAUACAGAGUCAGUGAAUCUUUUUAAGUCUACAGUUUACUCUAAUGUUUCCAUGGGCUUUCUUAGCGUUUGCCACUUCAAUUAACCUUAGUGGCAGCAGAUAUGCCAACUCUUUUCUUGUGGAUUUGCACAGAUUCGUAUCACUCUUUUCAUUACCUGUAGGUAAGCAGAAUUGGAGAACUGCUAUCAUAAACUUCAUAACCAACUAUACAGAGUAUGUUACUCAACUAUGAUCUAUAUUUUAUUCUACCUAUUAGUUAUUCUGAAUUAUCCUGCCCUCUCCUUUCC
Molecule: long non-coding RNA, 1560 nt
Organism: Numida meleagris (helmeted guineafowl)
Lineage: Eukaryota; Metazoa; Chordata; Aves; Galliformes; Numididae
Source: Ensembl